This 259-nucleotide long non-coding RNA is filed under the name Lathyrus oleraceus (garden pea). RNAcentral's name for it is "Pisum sativum (pea) long non-coding RNA (PSAT_LNC030151)". Lineage: Eukaryota; Viridiplantae; Streptophyta; Magnoliopsida; Fabales; Fabaceae. The record is from RNAcentral.
AAUAUUCACACGCAAACCUAACAUCCAGAAGAGUCAACAUGCAAAAAUUCAGAUCAUUUGACAUUUAUUUGGCAUUGUAAAUAAAAUCAUCAAAUUGGAAAAGAAAUGGUGUGACACAAAUUGUCACACCUACAUUCAUCAUAGCAUAUCUCCACAACCAGAAAUGAUAAAAUCACAAACUCUAUACCACAAAAUCCCUAAAGGUUUCUAGAUUAAGCAUGCAAAUUUUCAGCUCCAUUAGAUUAAGCAUCAUCAUUUC